AUUGAACGCUGGCGGCAGGCUUAACACAUGCAAGUCGAACGGACUACUUCGGUAGUUAGUGGCGAACGGGUGAGUAAUGCCUAGGAAUCUGCCGCUUAGUGGGGGAUAACGUUCCGAAAGGAACGCUAAUACCGCAUACGUCCUACGGGAGAAAGAGGGGGAUCUUCGGACCUACUGCUAAACGAUGAGCCUAGGUCAGAUUAGCUAGUUGGUGAGGUAAAGGCUCACCAAGGCGACGAUCUGUAGCGGGUCCGAGAGGAUGAUCCGCCACACUGGAACUGAGACACGGUCCAGACUCCUACGGGAGGCAGCAGUGGGGAAUAUUGGACAAUGGGGGCAACCCUGAUCCAGCCAUGCCGCGUGUGUGAAGAAGGCCUUUUGGUUGUAAAGCACUUUAAGCGAGGAGGAGGGUACUCUAGCUAAUACCUAGAUGUAUCGGACGUUACUCGCAGAAUAAGCACCGGCUAACUCUGUGCCAGCAGCCGCCGUAA
RNAcentral lists this ribosomal RNA (491 nucleotides) under uncultured bacterium. RNAcentral describes it as "partial 16S ribosomal RNA". It matches the Rfam family "Bacterial small subunit ribosomal RNA", at positions 30 to 523 of the family's 1533-position model. The record is from RNAcentral.